Molecule: transfer RNA, 99 nt
Filed under: Fridericia pubescens
Lineage: Eukaryota; Viridiplantae; Streptophyta; Magnoliopsida; Lamiales; Bignoniaceae
Also listed under: 1 other name
Description: partial tRNA-Leu
Source: RNAcentral
GACUUAAAAUCCGUCGACUUUUAAAAUCGUGAGGGUUCAAGUCCCUCUAUCCCCAAAAAAAGCCUAUUUGACUCCCCCAAAAAUAUUUAACCUAUCCGC